RNAcentral lists this ribosomal RNA (501 nucleotides) under uncultured bacterium. RNAcentral describes it as "partial 16S ribosomal RNA". It matches the Rfam family "Bacterial small subunit ribosomal RNA", at positions 29 to 523 of the family's 1533-position model. The record is from RNAcentral.
AUUGAACGCUGGCGGCAUGCCUUACACAUGCAAGUCGAACGGCAGCACGGGUGCUUGCACCUGGUGGCGAGUGGCGAACGGGUGAGUAAUACAUCGGAACGUACCUUAUCGUGGGGGAUAACGCAGCGAAAGCUGUGCUAAUACCGCAUACGCCCUGAGGGGGAAAGCGGGGGAUCGCAAGACCUCGCGCGAUUAGAGCGGCCGAUGCCUGAUUAGCUUGUUGGUGGGGUAAAAGCCCACCAAGGCGACGAUCAGUAGCUGGUCUGAGAGGACGAUCAGCCGCACUGGGACUGAGAAACGGCCCAGACUCCUACGGGAGGCAGCAGUGGGGAAUUUUGGACAAUGGGGGCAACCCUGAUCCAGCAAUGCCGCGUGAGUGAAGAAGGCCUUCGGGUUGUAAAGCUCUUUUGUCAGGGAAGAAACACCGGCUCUAACACAGUCCGGGAAUGACGGUACCUGAAGAAUAAGCACCGGCUAACUACGUGCCAGCCGCCGCAGUAA